AACAGGAUUAGAUACCCUGGUAGUCCACGCCGUAAACGAUGUCGACUUGGAGGCUGUUCCCUUGAGGAGUGGCUUCCGGAGCUAACGCGUUAAGUCGACCGCCUGGGGAGUACGGCCGCAAGGUUAAAACUCAAAUGAAUUGACGGGGGCCCGCACAAGCGGUGGAGCAUGUGGUUUAAUUCGAUGCAACGCGAAGAACCUUACCUGGCCUUGACAUCCAGAGAACUUUCCAGAGAUGGAUUGGUGCCUUCGGGAACUCUGAGACAGGUGCUGCAUGGCUGUCGUCAGCUCGUGUUGUGAAAUGUUGGGUUAAGUCCCGCAACGAGCGCAACCCUUAUCCUUUGUUGCCAGCGAUUCGGUCGGGAACUCAAAGGAGACUGCCGGUGAUAAACCGGAGGAAGGUGGGGAUGACGUCAAGUCAUCAUGGCCCUUACGGCCAGGGCUACACACGUGCUACAAUGGCGCAUACAAAGAGAAGCGACCUCGCGAGAGCAAGCGGACCUCAUAAAGUGCGUCGUAGUCCGGAUCGGAGUCUGCAACUCGACUCCGUGAAGUCGGAAUCGCUAGUAAUCGUGGAUCAGAACGCCACGGUGAAUACGUUCCCGGGCCUUGUACACACCGCCCGUCACACCAUGGGAGUGGGUUGCAAAAGAAGUAGGUAGCUUAACCUCCGGGAGGGCGCUUACCACUUUGUGAUUCAUGACUGGGGUGAAGUCGUAACAAGGUACC
RNAcentral lists this ribosomal RNA (729 nucleotides) under uncultured bacterium. Its description in RNAcentral is "bacterial SSU rRNA". It matches the Rfam family "Bacterial small subunit ribosomal RNA", at positions 771 to 1500 of the family's 1533-position model. The record is from RNAcentral.